RNAcentral lists this ribosomal RNA (170 nucleotides) under Peribacillus simplex. Its description in RNAcentral is "Bacillus simplex partial 16S ribosomal RNA". It matches the Rfam family "Bacterial small subunit ribosomal RNA", at positions 1 to 166 of the family's 1533-position model. The record is from RNAcentral. Lineage: Bacteria; Bacillati; Bacillota; Bacilli; Caryophanales; Bacillaceae.
UUCUUCGGAGAGUUUGAUCCUGGCUCAGGACGAACGCUGGCGGCGUGCCUAAUACAUGCAAGUCGAGCGGAUCGAUGGGAGCUUGCUCCCUGAGAUUAGCGGCGGACGGGUGAGUAACACGUGGGCAACCUGCCUAUAAGACUGGGAUAACUUCGGGAAACCGGAGCUAA